CGGGAUCCUGUAAAAAACUG
RNAcentral lists this microRNA (20 nucleotides) under Spodoptera frugiperda (fall armyworm). RNAcentral's name for it is "sfr-miR-10469-3p". The record is from miRBase by way of RNAcentral. Lineage: Eukaryota; Metazoa; Arthropoda; Insecta; Lepidoptera; Noctuidae.